UGAGGUGGAUACUGUUGUUAAACCCAUAACCAUGUGUGUGAGGUAGAUACUGUUGUUAAACCCAUAACCAUGUGUGUGAGGUAGAUACUGUUGUUAAACCCAUAACCAUGUGUGUGAGGUGGAUACUGUUGUUAAACCCAUAACCAUGUGUGUGAGGUGGAUACUGUUGUUAAACCCAUAACCAUGUGUGUGAGGUGGAUACUGUUGUUAAACCCAUAACCAUGUGUGUGAGGUAGAUACUGUUGUUAAACCCAUAACCAUGUGUGUGAGGUGGAUACUGUUGUUAAACCCAUAACCAUGUGUGUGAGGUAGAUACUGUUGUUAAACCCAUAACCAUGUGUGUGAGGUGGAUACUGUUGUUAAACCCAUAACCAUGUGUGUGAGGUAGAUACUGUUGUUAAACCCAUAACCAUGUGUGUGAGGUGGAUACUGUUGUUAAACCCAUAACCAUGUGUGUGAGGUGGAUACUGUUG
Oncorhynchus keta (chum salmon) is the source of this 473-nucleotide long non-coding RNA. RefSeq lists it as uncharacterized. The record is from RefSeq and is a predicted model, not a curated record. The transcript is spliced from 3 exons. Lineage: Eukaryota; Metazoa; Chordata; Actinopteri; Salmoniformes; Salmonidae.